Molecule: ribosomal RNA, 301 nt
Filed under: uncultured bacterium
Lineage: Bacteria
Description: partial 16S ribosomal RNA
Rfam family: Bacterial small subunit ribosomal RNA
Source: RNAcentral
CAGCCGCCGCUGUAAUACGUAGGUGGCAAGCGUUGUCCGGAAUUAUUGGGCGUAAAGGGCUCGCAGGCGGUUUCUUAAGUCUGAUGUGAAAGCCCCCGGCUCAACCGGGGAGGGUCAUUGGAAGCUGGGAAACUUGAGUGCAGAAGAGGAGAGUGGAAUUCCACGUGUAGCGGUGAAAUGCGUAGAGAUGUGGAGGAACACCAGUGGCGAAGGCGACUCUCUGGUCUGUAACUGACGCUGAGGAGCGAAAGCGUGGGGAGCGAACAGGAUUAGAUACCCCUGUAGUCCCUGUCUCUUAUAC